This 448-nucleotide ribosomal RNA is filed under the name Lactiplantibacillus plantarum. RNAcentral's name for it is "bacterial SSU rRNA". It matches the Rfam family "Bacterial small subunit ribosomal RNA", at positions 80 to 518 of the family's 1533-position model. The record is from RNAcentral. Lineage: Bacteria; Bacillati; Bacillota; Bacilli; Lactobacillales; Lactobacillaceae.
UUUACAUUUGAGUGAGUGGCGAACUGGUGAGUAACACGUGGGAAACCUGCCCAGAAGCGGGGGAUAACACCUGGAAACAGAUGCUAAUACCGCAUAACAACUUGGACCGCAUGGUCCGAGUUGAAAGAUGGCUUCGGCUAUCACUUUGGAUGGUCCCGCGGCGUAUUAGCUAGAUGGUGGGUAACGGCUCACCAUGGCAAUGAUACGUAGCCGACCUGAGAGGGUAAUCGGCCACAUUGGGACUGAGACACGGCCCAAACUCCUACGGGAGGCAGCAGUAGGGAAUCUUCCACAAUGGACGAAAGUCUGAUGGAGCAACGCCGCGUGAGUGAAGAAGGGUUUCGGCUCGUAAAACUCUGUUGUUAAAGAAGAACAUAUCUGAGAGUACUGUUCAGGUAUUGACGGUAUUUAACCAGAAAGCCACGGCUAACUACGUGCCAGCAGCCGC